CGCGUAGGCGGUUCGUUAAGUCGGAUGUGAAAACUCUGGGCUCAACCCAGAGCCUGCAUCCGAAACUGGCGGGCUAGAGUUCUGGAGGGGGUAGCGGAAUUCCUGGUGUAGCGGUGAAAUGCGUAGAUAUCAGGAGGAACACCGGUGGCGAAGGCGGCUACCUGGACAGAAACUGACGCUGAGGCGCGAAAGCUAGGGGAGCAAACA
Molecule: ribosomal RNA, 207 nt
Filed under: uncultured bacterium
Lineage: Bacteria
Description: partial 16S ribosomal RNA
Rfam family: Bacterial small subunit ribosomal RNA
Source: RNAcentral